CAAGGAUGUAACUAGAUUUUGUGAUUCUAGGUCACUCAGAGCCAAAGGCUCUCAAAACCAAGAUAAGUAACUAAAAACUCCAAUAUCCUGGUACUGUGUGACUCUAUGGUGUGUCUGCAUGAGGAUGUUAACAGUCAAAUUGAAGAGAUGGCUGCAAGCUACACACUGGCCUUUGUCCUUUGCACCAUGAGCUGUGACUUUCUCUUCAUGAGUGUGUUGAAAGCAAAAGUAACAAUCCCAAUUCUCAUAACUUAAGCAAGAGAAUAUUUUUGACUUUUAACUAAAAAAAAAACAAGCAGUGAGAAAAACAGCGUCAACCACAGAUGACAUAUCACUUGCUUUGUUGUAUUCUCAAGAUUUCUCUGUGUAUUCCUAUUCCUUUGCGUGUUGUGUGGACUCUUUGAAUUCUAUAUUGG
Molecule: long non-coding RNA, 416 nt
Filed under: Capra hircus (goat)
Lineage: Eukaryota; Metazoa; Chordata; Mammalia; Artiodactyla; Bovidae
Description: lncRNA (ENSCHIG00000002067.1)
Source: RNAcentral